This 253-nucleotide ribosomal RNA is filed under the name uncultured bacterium. Its description in RNAcentral is "partial 16S ribosomal RNA". It matches the Rfam family "Bacterial small subunit ribosomal RNA", at positions 524 to 776 of the family's 1533-position model. The record is from RNAcentral.
UACGGAGGGGGCAAGCGUUGUCCGGAUUUAUUGGGCGUAAAGAGCGUGUAGGCGGCCAGGUAGGUCCGUUGUGAAAACUCGAGGCUCAACCUCGAGACGCCGAUGGAAACCAUCUGGCUAGAGUCCGGAAGAGGAGAGUGGAAUUCCCGGUGUAGCGGUGAAAUGCGCAGAUAUCAGGAAGAACACCCGUGGCGAAGGCGGCUCUCUGGGACGGUACUGACGCUGAGACGCGAAAGCGUGGGGAGCAAACAGG